Bolinopsis microptera is the source of this 298-nucleotide long non-coding RNA. RefSeq lists it as uncharacterized. The record is from RefSeq and is a predicted model, not a curated record. The transcript is spliced from 2 exons. NCBI's taxonomy places the organism in Eukaryota, Metazoa, Ctenophora, Tentaculata, Lobata, Bolinopsidae.
CAUUAAUGAAAUUCCAGGAUAUAGCAUGUGUUUAUAUGAACUACAUGCCGAAUGCCAAUAUGUGUGGAGUGUGGUUGCUCACUGUAUAUGCAGAGUUGGGAUGUGACUGAAAACAUUGAAGUUUCGUUACCGUUGGAAGAUUUCAUGUACAUAGUACAUACUAUGCAAAAUGUGGAGUCAAUUGUACGCUGACGAAAGCUGCAAAACAACUGAGCCAGCUCCACAAGCACGACCUGACUGAAGAAUUAAAUCUUAUUUGUCUGUGAAUAUUUCGCUACGUAGCUUGUCAGCCUUCAAG